GCUUUAUACAAAUAAAUUAUAAUAGCAUAAGCAAUAUAUGUUUAGUUUCCAUUAUUACAUAAAAACUUGUCUGAAUUUUCACCAACCAAUGAAAACCAAGCAUGUUUAAUUUGUAUUUAUACUUGUUUUUAAAGGGCAUCGUUUUCAAUCACGGAUAAAAAUCUGUAAAUUUCCAAAACCAACCGCCACCAUGUAGAGCACCAAAUCCUCUCUUCCCUUCAGUUCCCCAUUUGCCUCUUCUUCGUUUUCUUUCUCCCUCGGCCU
This 264-nucleotide long non-coding RNA is filed under the name Populus trichocarpa (black cottonwood). RNAcentral describes it as "long non-coding RNA (PTRI_LNC003666)". Lineage: Eukaryota; Viridiplantae; Streptophyta; Magnoliopsida; Malpighiales; Salicaceae. The record is from RNAcentral.